UAGGGAAUCUUCCGCAAUGGACGCAAGUCUGACGGAGCAACGCCGCGUGAGUGAAGAAGGAUUUCGGUUCGUAAAACUCUGUUGUUAGAGAAGAACAGCGCAUAGAGUAACUGUUAUGCGUGUGACGGUAUCUAACCAGAAAGCCACGGCUAACUACGUGCCAGCAGCCGCGGUAAUACGUAGGUCCCGAGCGUUGUCCGGAUUUAUUGGGCGUAAAGCGAGCGCAGGCGGUUAGAAAAGUCUGAAGUGAAAGGCAGUGGCUCAACCAUUGUAGGCUUUGGAAACUGUUUAACUUGAGUGCAGAAGAGGAGAGUGGAAUUCCAUGUGUAGCGGUGAAAUGCGUAGAUAUAUGGAGGAACACCAGUGGCGAAGGCGACUCUCUGGUCUGUAACUGACGCUGAGGCUCGAAAGCGUGGGUAGCAAACAGG
This 428-nucleotide ribosomal RNA is filed under the name Bacteroidota bacterium. RNAcentral describes it as "Bacteroidetes bacterium partial 16S ribosomal RNA". It matches the Rfam family "Bacterial small subunit ribosomal RNA", at positions 355 to 776 of the family's 1533-position model. Lineage: Bacteria; Pseudomonadati; Bacteroidota. The record is from RNAcentral.